Long non-coding RNA from Raphanus sativus (radish), 1185 nucleotides. RefSeq lists it as uncharacterized. The record is from RefSeq and is a predicted model, not a curated record. The transcript is spliced from 4 exons. NCBI's taxonomy places the organism in Eukaryota, Viridiplantae, Streptophyta, Magnoliopsida, Brassicales, Brassicaceae.
AGGUCGGUUAGCUUCUAAAAGAAACCGAUCGGUUUUGGUGAAUUUAAAUCCUUUGGCUGGUUUAACGCUUCAAGGUUAACGCUUUAGCUGGACUUAGGAUAUACCUAAUCUCCACACUAAUCACGGCGACAAUCCAAACAGAGUGAGGAGCUGAUAAAGUUGGUUAAGGAUGCCUCACAGAACACGGCCAUUGAUGGGACUGUUACUUUUCACAGGAAUAAACGCGGUUCUGGUGCAGACCAUUACUCCAGUUUAUGACUUUGUCUGCUUCUUGCCUUACUGGGAGAGACGGAGACAACGAAUCCGGCAGGAGCUUCAAGCAUCUUCAUUCUCAGUUGGCACAUACUCAACACAUAAAGCUACUAGUACUACUCAAGCAUCUGCUAGAUGAUUCUCUCCAGAUAGUUUCAUCGCCCAUCCAAAUAUUCACAUGAUCUUCCCCAUAUAUACCUCAACACCAAAAAGGUUAGGACAUUUUGCUUGCAGCCCUUGAAUGUUAGUUAAACUCUACCCCCUUCUGUCUUUCGAUAAGAUGUUAUGAAGAACCAGAAUCGGUCAGUUACACUUGCCAAAAUAAUAAGUCCAAGAAAAACGUGGUUUAAAAGUUUGAAACAUUUAACCAAAAAAAAGAAGCUCGAGAGACGUAAAUAUACAAAGACUAACUCCGCCCAUGUGGGUGUUGGUUUUGACUGUGUACUUUGUUCAUCGACAAACUUUGACAUGUACUCACCUCAAUGUUUUUAAUGCUUUCAUGUGCAUAAAGUUUGUUAGUGUCACAACAAUAAUAGUUAAAACUUCAUCUCAAGCCUAAAUUAUUGUAAAUAUUAGAAAGAAUAGAUAAAGAUAAUGCAAAACAUAUGUGUUGUGUGAUGGAGACGAGCCCAUUUUGGAAGAGGUCACAACAAAUGUCGCAACUAGAGACUAUCUUGAUAAUCUAGAGUUGUGUCUUUUUGACUUUAAUGCUAUAAUCGGACAAUACAUAUGAAUCAUGAUGUAUCAGGCAAUGCAAUAAUGUCUUUGUUCAAUAAUUUUCCUAACUAGAGAUGUGACAACUUGUCACUGACAGCAUAUAACUCGUGUUUAAGCCGAUGUGAUGAUAUCCUGUGGAUAUUUGACUGUAUCCAUAGUUGCAAUACUUUAAGGUUAUGUGUAUUCCUAUGUAAUGAAACAUCUUGUCACUCGUGU